RNAcentral lists this transfer RNA (73 nucleotides) under Loxodonta africana (African savanna elephant). It matches the Rfam family "tRNA". From Rfam's summary of the family: Transfer RNA (tRNA) molecules are approximately 80 nucleotides in length. The record is from Rfam by way of RNAcentral. Lineage: Eukaryota; Metazoa; Chordata; Mammalia; Proboscidea; Elephantidae.
GACCCCGUGGCCUAAUGGAUAAGGCAUCUGACUUCAGAUCAGAAGACUGAGGGUUCAAGUCCCUUUGUGGUUG